ACUCAAAUGAAUUGACGGGGACUCGCACAAGCAGAGGAUCAUGUGGUUUAAUUCGAUGGUAAACGAAGAACCUUACCAGGGUUAGAAAUGCAGCUGAAGACGAGCAGAAACGUUCGUCGCCGCAAGGCAGCUGCACAGGUGCUGCAUGGUCGUCGUCAGUUCGUGGUUUGAAUUGUUCCCUUCAGUGGGGUAACGAACGCAACCCUCAUUGCCUGUUACAAGUGUCAGGCGAGACUGCCCAGCUUUUUGUUCAUAGAUGCGCGAUCCGCGCGCAUUGUGGCCAAGAAGCUGGGAGGAAGGUGAGGAUGACGCCAGAUCAGCAUGGCCCUCUGAUACCCUGGGCUACACACGUGAUACAAUGGCGCGUACAACGCGAUGCGACGGGGAGACCCUGAGCCAAUCGUUAGAAAGCGCGCCCUAGUUCCGAUAGGAGUCUGAAACUCGACUCCUUGAAGCUGGAUUUGCUAGUAAUCUCGGGUCAGCUAUACCGAGGUGAAUACGUUCUCGAGUCUUGUACACACCGCCCGU
This 528-nucleotide ribosomal RNA is filed under the name uncultured bacterium. RNAcentral's name for it is "partial 16S ribosomal RNA". It matches the Rfam family "Bacterial small subunit ribosomal RNA", at positions 899 to 1397 of the family's 1533-position model. The record is from RNAcentral.